Long non-coding RNA from Patella vulgata (common limpet), 1321 nucleotides. RefSeq lists it as uncharacterized. The record is from RefSeq and is a predicted model, not a curated record. The transcript has 5 exons. NCBI's taxonomy places the organism in Eukaryota, Metazoa, Mollusca, Gastropoda, Patellidae.
UUUUUAGAAAAUCCAAUCCGUAGUAAGAAACACACUAAUGUGGCUCUCUCCCGAGAGCCUCAAAUUUAUUUUCUUUUUUCUUCAGAAACAAUAAUACCAGAAUACCAGAAGCACCACCCAAGGAAGACCAUCAGCGCCACCAACACCAAUAAACAGUGAAAUCGCCUUUGUAUAUAAAUCUAAUGUAUUGUGUCAGGUUACUGUGCAAGAGUGGUAUGAUUGACCUCAACACAAGUAUUAAGGCAAAAGGGAAUCAACUUUAUUUGAGGCCAGAUACAUGGAACGGUUCCACCAGUUAUUUGUUAUCCCACCCCGGCACACAACAGAAUGAAGGCGGCACUUUGAGCAGUCGCCAUCGUAACACAUAAUAGUGGACUCUAGGACUUUUGCACUAACUUGGUUAGAAAAAGUCUGCAUGCCACUUUGGAAUAUCCAAAUCUGUCAACAGCAGCCGAGCUCUGGUGUUUCCAACCGGCAUGUCUAACAGUCCAGAUUGUAGGGUCAGAUUAAUAGCGGCUGCCUUUCUUCCUGGUUUGCCAGUUGGAAUCUCUUUAUACAACUUGUAGACAGGUCUACAUCUCAAAACCCGAUGACUUCCCGGACUGGCAUUAGUAGAAAGAUGAUGCAUAUGAAUUUCAUCCCUGAUCUCUGUGACACCUGUGGAAGUUGAGGGCAAAUCAUAAUCAGUUUGGGUUCCAGCCGAGGACCCCUGUAAACGUUGCUGUUUAGUGUUGACUUCAUGUCCGAGCUUGAAAAAGACGCCUUGCGUUUAUUAUGGCCUCUCAAAUUGGAAGAUAACAUAAAUGGCUUGUAUGUUGACUGUUGUGCAUAUCUAUGGGUCAGGAAAGUUGUAGGUACCAUCAACAUUGUAAAUCAUUUGACAGACCAGAAUGGAGAGUGAGAACUAUGAUUGAUCAGCCAUGUAUCAGAUUCCAUACUAGGGAGUGGGGAUCAUAAAACUGUUGUAGUGUUACAUAAUCAGAUUAUCUGAACUUAAUUGUCCUAUGUAAAUACAGCUAUGUAGGAGACAUUUUAAAAUUUAUAGGCACUGCAUGUUUCAACAUCUUAGAUUUGACCACAAUUUGGCUCUUGAAACUGCGUUAAGAGAGAAAAACUAAGAUCUUUUCGACGAAAAUGUUAAAAAAAUCUAAUAUUACAUGAUAAUUACUGUUUUAAAGGAUUUUCUUGUUUGAUUUAUAUUGAAUUUUUGUUAUCUUUUUACAGAAUGCAUUUAUGUUCAAAAAUAAAAAUGUUCUGUUUAAUUCAAAAUUCAUGUGCUUUUAAAUUUCUGUCUGAAAUUCCGCAGUUUUCUGAUGUAUUA